This 332-nucleotide ribosomal RNA is filed under the name uncultured Glomeromycotina. RNAcentral describes it as "eukaryotic LSU rRNA". Lineage: Eukaryota; Fungi; Glomeromycota. The record is from RNAcentral.
CAGUCGUACCGACGGAAAAUCAGCUCUUUAGUGCGGACUUGUGGGCUUACGUGAGUUUUAACACCUCGCUGUUUGCAACGUUCGUGCUUUUUGGGUGUACUUUUUCGUAUGGUAGGCCAAUGUCAGUUUCGAUCGCUAUAAAAUGACCGGCGGAAUGUAGCUUCGAUCUCGUAUUGAAGUGUUAUAGCCUCUGGUAGAUGUGGUGAUCGGGACUGAGGAUUGCAACGAAUACCUUUUUGGGCUAUCCGUCUGAUCUCUGAAGGUUGCUUAGGUGCCGAAAGCGUGCUUACGGUUAUUUAAGUUGACAGUCAAAAGGUUAGAACGUGAUUAUA